This 8407-nucleotide long non-coding RNA is filed under the name Hordeum vulgare. RNAcentral describes it as "long non-coding RNA (HVUL_LNC002673)". Lineage: Eukaryota; Viridiplantae; Streptophyta; Magnoliopsida; Poales; Poaceae. The record is from RNAcentral.
UUUUUUUUUGUAAUCCUCCAUGGCCACUAGUAGGAAAAUGGCCUAUAGCCCGGGACUAAACAACCGGGACUAAUGCAAGCCCUGGUUCGGCCCCGAACCGGGGCUAAUGGUCCUCCACGUGGCGGGGCUUGGAGCGAGGGGGGAAGGGGUAUUAGUCCCGGUUCUUAUUACGAACCGGGACUAAAGGCUCCACCUGAUUUAUUUUAUUUCACCCAAAAAGGUAGAUUUGUUUUUGAUUUUUUUUCACCCAUCCUCACUGAGGACUUAUUCUAAAUCGUCUAACUUCUCGACCGGUCACCCAUCCUCUAACUGCUUCAACCCGAGCACACUUAAUUUUCUGGUUCUAUCGCCCCUAGUUGCCAAGUCUCCACUUGUUGUUUGCCUGACAAUAGUAAGCUAUCAAUCCUAAACAACCUGGGUUCUUGAUGUCAUGUCACAUGAUUUAAUUUUUUGAAUUCAAACAAUUAUAAAAAUAAACAAAAUAAGUAAUAAUAAUAGUGAAUUUCAAUGAAAACAACAUAAUAUUUUUAAAUAAAAUUAUUUUUCCUUAUUUUUCUCGGAAAAAACUUCUUUUUGAAAUAACUUUUUUUACAUUUGGAAUUUUGAGCAUGUGAGAAAAAUUCAGCGGGCAAACUUUUUUUGACGUCGUAUGCAAAAGUUAUGGCCGUUUUACAUUUUUUUCCUUUUUUGCAAAAACGGUCAAAAUUCAUAUCUCAAAAUUUCUAUACCAACUAGACACUAAAACCUAACUACAUCUCAAAGGAUUUUAUUUUUUGAAGACUUUAUCAUUUUUUCUUUAUUUUCUACAAAACUAAAAAAGACGGUCCGCGGGGGGUAGAGUUUGAAAAUUUCAGAAUCCCCCUUUAGCCAAGAGUCCAAUCAUACCCGUCGACUACAUCUGCUAGCACCGUCCCCGCCAGAGUCACAACUAAGGUUAACCAAGCCAGAGUAACCCUUUCUAACUUUAUUUGCUAUUUUUCAUGCAUUUAAUGAUUUUUUGAGCUAAAUGUCCCUAAUAUGGAAAAGCACUAUUAUGAACUCUGAAAAUGUUGACACGUGGCAUGGUAUUAUCAUUUCACCCACAUAGCUUGUGCUAAAAAGUUGAGAGGGUUACGGCAAAAACUGGAUGCACUUCGUGUACAAGCUGGACCAUCUCCUUCGAAGUAUCCAGGUUUCACACGAAAACCCAUCUGCUACAAAGGCAUUUUAUUUUUUACUUAUUUCAACUCCAGAAUUUUUGUGUACUUUGUGCAUUCAAUAUGCACCAUUCAAAACCACAUCCUAAAAUUUCAACCCUUUAUAACUUCAUUUGCUAUUUUUCAUGGAUUUAAUGAUUUUUUGACCUAAAUGACCCUGAAAUUGAAAAGCUCGACAAAUGAACUCUGAAAAGGUUUAAACGUGGCAUGGUAUCAUCAUUUCACCCACAUAUCAUGUGCUAAAAAGUUGAGAGGGUUACGACAAAAACUGGAUACACUUCGUGUACAAAACGGACAAUCUCUUUCGAAGUAUCAGGGUUUCGAACAAAAACUCAUCUCUUGCUAAGGGACUUCAUUUUUUGAACUUAUUUGAACUCCAUACUUUUUGUGUAUUCAAAAUGCACCGUUCAAAGCCACAUCAUAAGUUUUCAACAUUUUGUGACUUCAUUUGGUAUUUUUCACGCAUUUACUUAUUUUUUGUGCUAAUUGACCCUGAAAUUGAAAAGCACUACAAAUGAACUCUGAAAAGGUUUAAAGUUGGCAUGGUAUCAUCAUUUCACCCACAUGGCAUGUGCUAAAAAGUUGAGGGAGUUACGGCAAAAACUGAAUGUACUUCGUGUACAAAACAGACAAUCUCCUUCGAAGUAUCAAGGGUUGAGACGAAAACCCAUCUGCUAGAAAGAGAUUUCAUUUUUUUAACUUAUUUGAACUCCAUACGUUUUGUGUGUUCAAUAUGCAUCAUUCAAAGUCACCUCAUAAAUUUUCAACCCUUUCUUACCUCAUUUUCUAUUUUCCAUGCAUUUAAUGAUUUUUUGAGCUAAAUGCCCCUAAAAAUGAAAAGUGCUACAAAUGAACUCUGAAAAGGCUGAAACUUGUCAUGGAAUCAUCAUUUCACCCACAUGGCAUGUGCUACAAAGUUGAGAGGGUUACGGCAAAAACUGGAUGCACUUCGUGUACAAACUGGAUCAUCUCCUUCGAAGUAUCAAGGUUUCAGACGAAAACCCAUCCGCUACAAAGGCAUUUUUUUAAAAUUAUUUCAACUCUAGACUUUUUGUGCAUUCAAUAUGCAUCAUAUUACAACAUGUUACAAUCUACAGAAAGAGCUAACUAAAAAUAAUAAAAAACAACAAUUAAAUGACUAAAACAACUAUAUAAGCAAAACAAUAUUGUUUUAAUUAAAAACCUAAUUUAAAUUAUUCUAAAAAUAACAAAAUAAAUCUUACCGUGACAACAAUCUAACACAUGACUAGGAGCAAAAAGAAUUAAAUUAAAACUAUUUGUAAACUCAAAUUAUUCACAAUUUAGGUUUGAAGCAAAAUUGAACAAAUUCAAAUUUAAACCAAUCAAAUUUAAAAACUAAUGGCACAAACAGAAACUAGACAAUAUUUUGAAUCUAAUGCAAAAAGAAUCACUCAAAAACAUCAAAUAUCCUAAAAGAUAUAAGCAAUUUAAAACAUAAACUACAAAUAGAAAACAAAUUAAAAAAAAUUCAAAACCCCUUUAGUCAUGGUUCGUGUCUUGAACCGGGACUAAAGGUCCCUUUAGUCCCGGUUCAAGACACGAACCGUGACUAAAGCCUCCAAACCCUUUAGUCCCGGUUCAAGACACGAACCGUGACUAAAGCCUCCAAACCCUUUAGUCCCGGUUCAAGACACGAACCGUGACUAAAGCCUCCAAACCCUUUAGUCCCGGUUCAAGACACGAACCGGGACUAAAGGUCCCAUUUAAACCGGGACUAAUGCCCGACUGGCGCCCUUGUUGCUCGAACCAGGACUAAUGCUAACAUUAGUCCCGGUUCGUAAUGGAACCGGGACUAAUGUGUAAAUUAAGCUGGGACGGAAGCCCUUUUUUCUACUAGUGGGCGCUUAUAAAUGUGGUUGUCGAUGAAGCUUCUCGUUUGGCUAGUUUGUUUGAGUGCCAACUGGGUAAGAUGCCUUUCACUUAUCUUGCUUUACCUAUGUGUAACACUAGUUGCAAGAUUCAUGACUUAAUGCCUUCGGUUAAUAUAUAGAAUGGAAAGGAGAAUGACAACUAUCUCUUCUCUAGUUUCACGAGGUGCUAGGUUGAAACUUUUGAGGUCUACCAUUUCAUCCAUGCUGAUAUUACUAUCUUUGUAGUGUCUAGAUCCCUGUGGCAUAACUAGACAACUAGAGAGAAUUGAGCAGAAUGCCUCUAGUAUUAAUGCUAAUAUCCCAAAUCAACCAUUGUCGACAUUUCAUCUAAUAUAUAGACUGAAGGAGAAUGGUGGUAUGGGCAUCAGCUGGAAAAUUCAACACCAAGCUUUGCUUAGAGAAGACAUGCGCAAAUUUUAUAACAAAGCUCAUGUUCUAUGGUAUAUUUGCUAUGGAAUUAUUACAAUCAUGGACUCAUGCCUCACGCAACAGUCCUUUCUGGCUCUUACGAAUGGAGGAUAUUUUGAAACUUACACUAGAUUCGAAUAGCACUGACCGGCAAAAUAGUCUCAUCACUGACACACUUUUGGCUCGUCCGAUGCCUUGGGCUGAGUGAUGACAUUGUCACCACAGACGGGACAUCUGGCCUCUGAAUGAUGCCUAACCAGUAUUGUCCGCUGGCUGGUCGGUGAUAACAAUUUCACUCACUUUUGGAUGUUUGCGCUUUAUUUAUGUUUGUUUAUAAAAAAUGCAAAUGAAAUUGACAAAAACAUAGGAAUACCAUACACAUGCAUAAAUCAUUCAUUUGCACACUGGAUACUUUGCUUUUCACGCACGAUUCACAUGUAAAUUUACACAGUUCACAUCUACCAUAUAAAGAGUACUAAGCAAAACUGCACACUUCAUAAUACACAUGUCACUGAGGCCAUGUUCGGUAAUCCACCAGAUCUUGGAAUGUGUGGAGCUGGGAAACUGCAGCUCCCGUAUUAUGAACUACAGCUCCACCAGGUCCGCUCCCGGAGCUGUGGAGCGGAGCAUCUCCCAACAUGGCCUGAAUAUACCCAACCUCUUAUCAAACUAGAGAGGACUUACUCCCUCUGUACUUUCUCUGUUUCUAAAUAUAAGUUUUUUAAAGGUUUCAUUAGAGAACUACAUAUAGUAUAUAGACAUACUUUAGAGUAUAGAUUCAUUCAUUUUGCUCCGUAUGUAGUCUUCUAUUGAAAUCUCUAAAAAGACUUAUAUUUAAGAACAGAGGGAGUAAGUCCGCAUGCAACAAAAUUUGUCAAGACAAGUAACAUAAAAUAUCCAUUACCUGAUUUAAUACAUGUAGUUAAGAAUAUCAUAGCUAAGCUCAAUGUAAUUACACCCUGCUCGAGGAAUCUCUCGUCUGCUCCAAAAAGCAGCAGAUAAUAACAAAAGUGGAUAUUUACUGUGUGUCUAGAGAUGACAAAAUAUUUCAAGAUUGGUUUCAAAUCCUAAGAAACUGUUCUUUUCUUGAAUGAUACUCACACUAAGUACACUCAACCCGUAUCCGAAAUGAGGAGUCUAGAGUAGCCCGGACCUACUACCCUUAAGACUUGGUCUUCCCUUCUUUGAUUUUUGUGUAGUGCAACUAAAAGGUAUGUCAACUGAAAAUAUUUUUUUAUCCAGAUUUAGUUGAAUUUCAUUAGCAAUUGAAAAGUGAAGUAAUAUGUGUAGGCCAAAUAUGCCGUUCACUUGAACAAUAUUCCACUCUGUCUCCUAAUGAGGUAGUUGGUUGCGUUUAAAAUAUUUUCUAGCAUAUUCAUCACUACAUUGCCACAUAUAACAUGCAUAAUAUAUAAUAUUUUCUAACAUAUUCAUAGGUACAUGGAACACAUAGAUAUUGUAAGAUUCAUAGCAAGAUAAUUACAUGCAUCCAGAAUUGUAACACAUCCAUGGCAUGCAUAUCACAAUUGAAAUUGCAACAUAAUUAUGAAGUAAUGGAGCUAACCACCGUGGAUGACAACAUUGGGGAUGCAUGAGACACGUCAACAAUAGGGCAGAUCCUCGGGGCAGAGAAACCCCGACAAUGACACAACUACGAUGACUGAUACAACGACCACCCGCGUUGCCCUCGAAGACCCGGUGUCCUAUGGAAGGGUGGUAAUGAAUCGACGGAAAUGCGGCAACGUCCCAACGAGGAAGCUCCAUCGGUCCAUUGGGUCGUCAUACGAGCGACAUCGUCGGGACGCAAUGACCGUGAAGGAAGGUCGUGGGGCCGUUGGCAAGCCCCCCACAUAUAAGCGAACGGAGGAAGAGGAGGGAUGAUAGGUACGCCAACAGGAUGGAAGGACUCCAUGGCGGCUGUGAGGGUAUAGAAUGAAAACAUGGAGUGGACAAUGAUUAAAACAAGGCGCGUACAGAACAACACCAACAUGCUAAAAAUCAAAAGGGCAAGAUUGAAGAUGACAUUACAGACGGGUCAAAUACAGGAGCCAAUUUGAUUAUCUUAGGUCCAAUUUGAACAUCGGGACACCAUAUAAUUGAACAAUAUUUUGUAGACCAAUCUAUGAUAAUCGUCAAGAUGAGCAUAGGGAUACAUAUUACUAACACACCCUCGAGGGUCGGUCAGUGUUAUGGCUGAUUAGUGACGCAUAGUUCAAAGCCGCACAGGGAUGAGGGGCGAAUGCUAUUCUCAUAUGUAGUAUUGUCAACGAUCAAUAUAGGCCAUCUCUUCAUUCAAAGUUAAUAUGGAUGACUCUGCCCUAUUCUUCUCUGCCUGAAUGAUUGAGGGAUCUUCUCGACCUCUUUGACAUCAUUUGGCAAUGCUCUCUCUUUUGCCUUAGAUGUCAAAGUUUCUCUCAAAGAUUUUAUAGAAACGCCUGAUCAGGCCACUCUUUUGCACCUACCAAUUUCCGGUGAGGUGAUGGAUAAGCUGGAACCUCUGGAUGGUUCAUUACAUAGCCUUCAACACAACCAAACAUUGCCUGAUGUUUAUUCUUGGUCAGGAGCAUCAUUUUUUGCUAAAAGCUUCUACUCCAUUGAAAGGACGUGGAUGUCGCCUAGAGGGGUGGUGGUGAAUAGGCGCUUUAAAUGACGGUUUAGGCUUGAACAAAUGCGAAAUAAAACUAAUGUUUAAUUAGUCAAGCACAAAACCUAAAAAAACAAGGCUCACCUAUGUGCAACAAGAACUUAUGCUAAGCAAGAUAAACAAAUUAAGUGAUAGCAAGAUAUAGACCAAGAAACAAUAUGGCUAUCACAAAGUAAAUAGCGUAGGUAAAUAGGCUCGGUAAGGAGUUAACCGAGGCACGCGGAGACGACAAUGUAUCCCGAAGUUCACAUCCUUGCGGAUACUAAUCCCCGUUUGGAGUAGUGUGGAGGCACAUUGCUCCCCAAGAUGCCACUACGGUCAUCGUAAUCUCCUCACGCCCUCGCACAAUGCAAGAUGCCGUGAUUUCACUAAGGGACCCUUGAGGGUGGUCACCGAACCCGUACAAACAAGGUUGGAGCAUUCUCCACAACUUAAUUGGAGGCUCCCAACAACACCACGAAGAUUCACCACGAUGGUCUAUGGCUCCGAGAUGACCUCAAAUGCUCAGGGCAAUCUCCACAACCUAAUUGUAGACCCUGACGCUUGCCCAGAGCUUUACACCAUAAUGAUUGAGCUCCGAGGCAUCACCAAGCUUCUAGGACGCCAAAGCACCCAAGAAGGACAAGCUCUAGGGUACCAAGCACCCAAGAGUAAUAAGCUUCUCAACUUCUCACUUUCAUGUACCACCGUGGAGAACUCAAACCGAUGCAACUAAUGCAAUGGCAAGAACACACAAAGUGAUCAAGUCCCUCACGCUCAAAUCCCUCCAGAACAACAAAAGCUAUGGAGGAAUAUGAGAGGAAGACCAAGGAGCUCACUAAGAACUCCAAGUUCAAGAUCCAAGGGGUUCCCCUCACAUAGAGGAGAAAGUGAUUGGUGGAAUUAUGGAUCUAGAUCUCCUCUCUCUUUUCCCUUAAGAACUAGCAAGAAUCAUCAGAGGGAUUGAGAGUUAGCAUGCUAGAAGAAGGUCAACAAUGGGGGGCAAACACGAGCUCAACAGAUGGGGAACCAUUGGGGAAGAAGACCCCCUUAAAUAAGUUCCCCCAAAUCCAAUCGUUAUGUGCACAGGUCGUGCACAAGCGGUACUACCGCUUGGCUGAGCGGUACUACCGCUGGCACGAAAGUACCGGGCUUCAUAGGCAGAUUGAGAAAGUCAGGGAGGCGGUAGUUCUACCGGUGCGGUACUACCGCUCCUGCCAGCGGUACUUUCACUUAGCACUACCCACUCAAAAUCUGCUCGGAAGACGAAGAUACAAGAGAGCUCAAAAUAAGCGGUAGUAGUAGCGGUACUGGAGAGCGGUAGUACCACUUGAGUAGUACUACCGCUUCCACCGCAGCGGUACUUCCGCUUACGAGAAAAAAACUGCCCUGAUACUAAAAUGGCUACAAACCUGCCGUGCGGAUGAAAGAAGGGUCGGCGCAUUGGGUGCAUGGCUGACCUAAAAGAAAAACAGGGCGGACAAGCCGAUCCAAAUGUAUAAAACACGGACAAAACGAGCAUCCGUUUGGGUCGCCCUGCUGGAGUUGCUCUAACCUCCAUUAGAUAAAUAGGUAAGUAGGUAAGUGUUUUUUCCUUUUUUCCUUUGUUCCCGUUUGUAAUUAUUUAUUGCUUGCUUUUGUUUUGAAGAAAUAAAGGACGGCGGAGCUGUUACUCCAUAGUACUUACAAAAAAUGAGUUUUAUUUCUUGAUUUUCACUAGCAUGAUUACAAUCCUUCUGAAGGAGCUCAUGCAAUGCAUGUUGGAGAUUUAUUCCAAUAGUUGCAUAAUAUGGUUCGAAUGUUGUUGUUAUAUCUAGUUCAGUUAGAUGCUUAUUAUCCAGACCAUCACAAGUUCUUUAGUAAGUGUCUCUACUAAGAAUAUGUGUCAUCCUAUUCUACUAGCAAAAACCGAUGAAAAUGAUGGUAGUGACAUGGAAAAGAUACCACAGCUAUUUUGUUAUUGAUAUAAGUAAAGAAACUGAAAAUUGCAAUUGUCAAUCAGUGGGUCUUAAUGUCAAAUACAGGAAUCUUCCACCCACUAGCUGCGAGACAUCCAUUGCAGUGCUAAAUAAAAUAAACUUUUCCGAUAAUUAACAGCAAGACAAUGGUCCGCUUGUUGUAUAUUAUAAAUAUGGCACAGGUGUUGUAUAUGUGUAGGCCGUGCUAGAAUUUACAUAUGCAUAUAUGCUCCACAACCUAUGCUCGUACAAACACAGAUCAUAGAGAUGCAAAUUAUGCUCUAGUCGGAAAGCAGAGUCAUGGACAAAAGUGAAGUUCACAGAANNNNN